GACGAACGCUGGCGGCAUGCCUAACACAUGCAAGUCGAACGGAGAUCAUUAGAUAGCUUGCUUGACGAUGAUCUUAGUGGCGGACGGGUGAGUAACACGUGGGUAAUCUGCCUGACAAUCUGGGAUAACAGGGUGAAAACGCUGCUAAUACCGGAUAAGCUCACAGGGACGGGAGUCCUGGUGAGAAAAGGAGCAAUCCGUUGUCAGAUGAGCCCGCGGCUGAUUAGCUAGUUGGUGGGGUAAAGGCCUACCAAG
This 255-nucleotide ribosomal RNA is filed under the name uncultured bacterium. RNAcentral's name for it is "partial 16S ribosomal RNA". It matches the Rfam family "Bacterial small subunit ribosomal RNA", at positions 28 to 272 of the family's 1533-position model. The record is from RNAcentral.